Molecule: ribosomal RNA, 441 nt
Filed under: uncultured bacterium
Lineage: Bacteria
Description: partial 16S ribosomal RNA
Rfam family: Bacterial small subunit ribosomal RNA
Source: RNAcentral
CCUACGGGAGGCAGCAGUGGGGAAUAUUGCACAAUGGGGGAAACCCUGAUGCAGCGACGCCGCGUGAGUGAAGAAGUAUUUCGGUAUGUAAAGCUCUAUCAGCAGGGAAGAACAAAGACGGUACCUGACUAAGAAGCCUCGGCCAACUACGUGCCAGCAGCCGCGGUAAUACGUAGGGGGCAAGCGUUAUUCGGAUUUACUGGGUAGAAAGGGAGCGGAGGUGGCGCGGCAAGUCUGAAGUGAAAGGCAGGGGCUUAACCCCUGAACUGCUUGGGAAACUGCCAUGCUAGAGUGCAGGAGAGGAGAGUGGAAUUCCUGGUGUAGCGGUGAAAUGCGUAGAUAUAAGGAGGAACACCAGUGGCGAAGGCGGCUUACUGGACAGUAACUGACGUUGAGGCUCGAAAGCGUGGGGAGCAAACAGGAUUAGAUACCCCAGUAGUC